This is a long non-coding RNA of Chenopodium quinoa (quinoa), 617 nucleotides long. RefSeq lists it as uncharacterized. The record is from RefSeq and is a predicted model, not a curated record. The transcript has 2 exons. Lineage: Eukaryota; Viridiplantae; Streptophyta; Magnoliopsida; Caryophyllales; Amaranthaceae.
AAUUGAUGCUUUGGAGUCAGCACAAUCACAAGAAGAUGGUAAUGUAUGCAAUGACCCUUACAGUGAAGUGAUUCCACCUCCUAAACGCAAAAGUCGUUUGCAUCUAUAUGGCUCGGGUGUGAAAAAGAGUGAUUUGAAGAACAAAGAUACAAAGUCAAAUUACAUACUCCCGGAGGAAUUCCUGGUAGACAUAAAAACACAAUUAGUCCAAGAAAUUGCACCUACCAUCACCGCUGCAGUUUUGGAUUCGAUUCGCGAGGUGAACCCCGGGAUUAAUCUUGUGGUUCCUAGUACUCUGCAGCAAUUGACUCCGCAUGAUGCAUCUAGUGCACCAAAUCGAAAUACUGCCCAAAGUGGACAAUCUUCAAAAUCAUUUAAUCAGGUGGUUGAUGACGAUGAGCUACCCCGGGAUGAAUGAAGUAAGGACUAAUGUUGAUUUUAUGUAUCUAUUGCAACUUCUAGAGAGCUUUCAAAUUAAACGUUUGUUAAUUAAUUAGCUAGUGAACUUUCAUUUAUAAUUAGUUAGUAUUGACACUUCCUUUACUUUUGUAAUGCAACGAAUAUAUAUUAUAUGUACUUCGUUUAUUUUGUAAUGCAACGAAGAUAUAUUAUAUGUA